RNAcentral lists this ribosomal RNA (889 nucleotides) under uncultured bacterium. RNAcentral's name for it is "bacterial SSU rRNA". It matches the Rfam family "Bacterial small subunit ribosomal RNA", at positions 554 to 1440 of the family's 1533-position model. The record is from RNAcentral.
CUGGGNGUAAAGGACGCGUAGGCGGAUUAUCAAGUCUCUUGUGAANUCUAACGGCUUAACCGUUAAACUGCUUGAGAAACUGAUANUCUAGAGUAAGGGAGAGGCAGAUGGAAUUCUUGGUGUAGGGGUAAAAUCCGUAGAGAUCAAGAAGAAUACCCAUUGCGAAAGCGAUCUGCUGGAACUUAACUGACGCUAAUGCGUGAAAGCGUGGGGAGCAAACAGGAUUAGAUACCCUGGUAGUCCACGCCNUAAACGAUGUAUACUAGUUGUUGCUUCGCUAGUCGAGGCAGUAAUGCACCUAACGGAUUAAGUAUACCGCCUGGGGAGUACGGUCGCAAGAUUAAAACUCAAAGGAAUAGACGGGGACCCGCACAAGCGGUGGAGCAUGUGGUUUAAUUCGAAGAUACGCGAAGAACCUUACCCGGACUUGAUAUCUAACAAAUCAUCCAGAGAUGGAAGAGUGUCUGCUUGCAGAAAUGUUAAGACAGGUGCUGCACGGCUGUCGUCAGCUCGUGUCGUGAGAUGUUGGGUUAAGUCCCGCAACGAGCGCAACCCACGUCAUUAGUUGCUAACGGUUCGGCCGAGCACUCUAAUGAGACUGCCUUCGCAAGGAGGAGGAAGGUGUGGACGACGUCAAGUCAUCAUGGCCCUUAUGUCCGGGGCGACACACGUGCUACAAUGGCGUAUACAAUGAGACGCAAUAUCGCGAGAUGGAGCAAAUCUAUAAAAUACGUCCCAGUUCGGAUUGGAGUCUGCAACUCGACUCCAUGAAGCCGGAAUCGCUAGUAAUCGUAGAUCAGCCAUGCUACGGUGAAUACGUUCCCGGGUCUUGUACUCACCGCCCGUCACACCAUGGGAGUUGAUUUCACUCGAAGCCCAAAUACCAAAC